Molecule: ribosomal RNA, 253 nt
Filed under: uncultured bacterium
Lineage: Bacteria
Also listed under: 1 other name
Description: partial 16S ribosomal RNA
Rfam family: Bacterial small subunit ribosomal RNA
Source: RNAcentral
UACGGAGGGAGCUAGCGUUGUUCGGAAUUACUGGGCGUAAAGCGUGCGUAGGCGGCUAUUCAAGUCAGAGGUGAAAGCCUGGAGCUCAACUCCAGAACUGCCUUUGAAACUAGAUAGCUAGAAUCUUGGAGAGGUGAGUGGAAUUCCGAGUGUAGAGGUGAAAUUCGUAGAUAUUCGGAAGAACACCAGUGGCGAAGGCGACUCACUGGACAAGUAUUGACGCUGAGGUACGAAAGCGUGGGGAGCAAACAGG